CGGAGGGUGCAAGCGUUAUCCGGAUUCACUGGGUUUAAAGGGUGCGUAGGUGGGCAGGUAAGUCAGUGGUGAAAUCCUGUAGCUUAACUACAGAACUGCCAUUGAUACUAUCUGUCUUGAAUACCCUGGAGGUGAGCGGAAUAUGUCAUGUAGCGGUGAAAUGCUUAGAUAUGACAUAGAACACCCAUUGCGAAGGCAGCUCACUACGGGAAUAUUGACGCUGAGGCACGAAAGCGUGGGGAUCAAACAGGAUUAGAUACCCUGGUAGUCCACGCCCUAAACGAUGAUCACUCGACAUCAGCGAUAAACUGUUGGUGUCUGAGACAAAAGCAUUAAGUGAUCCCACCUGGGAAGUACGAUCGCAAGAUUGA
This 371-nucleotide ribosomal RNA is filed under the name uncultured organism. RNAcentral's name for it is "bacterial SSU rRNA". It matches the Rfam family "Bacterial small subunit ribosomal RNA", at positions 526 to 897 of the family's 1533-position model. The record is from RNAcentral.